ACAUGAUUUUAUCGGCAGUGUCGCAAAAUAGAUGUAACUUGUAAUUCCACGGCUCAAUUAUAGACGUUGGUGGCGGUAGUGUACGGUGAUUUUUACGGUGUCACGAAAAAGAUCGGCGUGGCCGCUCUCAGGUUCCUCUUUGCUAGGAAUAAGAUCAAUCGGGUGUAAACGCUCUUUAAAUUCACUUCACUUUGAAGUGAAUAGGGAUUGAACGGCUGGGUGUAAACUAGCCUGUCACUGAUUUGUUCUAGGGGAAAGCUUACGUAAUCGAUGCCCAAUGCAACAGAAUUUAGUGCACGAGUUCACUAAACUGGCUGCACUGCGUUUAGAGUCAGUGCAAGCAAUGCAGGGCAAACGAAAUUCAAUCAGUAAUUUUGAACACCAUAAAAUAUUAAUCAAUAAUAGCGUUUUCUUUGCUGCGCUACCGUCCACUAAUGCAAGACUUAGACAGUAUAGCGUGUUUCUAUGACUGGUGGCGGAUGAAUUUAUUCGAUGUAAUGUAUUUCCGUAGCUGCGUAGUACAAGUUUUAUGCACGCAGUAUGAUUUUGCUACACUGUUUCAAAUGAAAAAUUCUAUGCAAUUUAAAACUGCCACAAAUUAACUGACCUGGCCUGAAAUAAACACGACAGCAUGAAGUGUGUGCAUGUACAUACACCACAUGAGUGUAGUGCAGCUCUCACAUGCAACUGGUGCAAGGCUACACCAAGGCGUUCGAAGAGCACGCUAUCGCAAAAGACACUAACGCUGACAGACUCGUUCGAGGAAACUGUAAGGAGCUUACGCUUUCGAGCUCCCUAAACGAUACUUCAAGUAAAUUAUCGUUCCAAUAUUGCUAUAAACUUACCAUGAAUUACCAUAAAAAAAA
Long non-coding RNA from Pogonomyrmex barbatus (red harvester ant), 866 nucleotides. The record is from RefSeq and is a predicted model, not a curated record. Lineage: Eukaryota; Metazoa; Arthropoda; Insecta; Hymenoptera; Formicidae.